UUUCCGUAGGUGAACCUGCGGAAGGAUCAUUAACGAAUAUAUGUCUGUUUUAAGACAUUUUUCUAUUUCAAACACCCGUGAAUUUUAUGAAAUUUUUGCUUUGGCUGAAAUUAAUAUAUAUAUAUAUUUUUUUCGGCCAAACGUUUUUAAUUAAAACCUUUUUAUUUAUAAACAUUUUGAAUCUGAAGACUGUUUUAUGAAAAAUUUAUUUAAAACUUUCAACAACGGAUCUCUUGGUUCUC
Molecule: unclassified non-coding RNA, 242 nt
Filed under: plant metagenome
Description: partial contains small subunit ribosomal RNA, internal transcribed spacer 1, and 5.8S ribosomal RNA
Source: RNAcentral